Molecule: ribosomal RNA, 468 nt
Filed under: uncultured bacterium
Lineage: Bacteria
Description: partial 16S ribosomal RNA
Rfam family: Bacterial small subunit ribosomal RNA
Source: RNAcentral
GACGAACGCUGGCGGCGUGCUUAACACAUGCAAGUCGAACGGAAAGGCCCUGCUUUUGUGGGGUGCUCGAGUGGCGAACGGGUGAGUAACACGUGAGUAACCUGCCCUUGACUUCGGGAUAACUUCAGGAAACUGGGGCUAAUACCGGAUAGGAGCUCCUGCUGCAUGGUGGGGGUUGGAAAGCUUCGGCGGUUGGGGAUGGACUCGCGGCUUAUCAGCUUGUUGGUGGGGUAGUGGCUUACCAAGGCUUUGACGGGUAGCCGGCCUGAGAGGGUGACCGGCCACAUUGGGACUGCGAUACGGCCCAGACUCCUACGGGAGGCAGCAGUGGGGAAUAUUGCACAAUGGGCGGAAGCCUGAUGCAGCAACGCCGCGUGCGGGAUGACGGCCUUCGGGUUGUAAACCGCUUUCGCCUGUGACGAAGCGUGAGUGACGGUAAUGGGUAAAGAAGCACCGGCUAACUACGUG